UCUCUCUCUCUCUCUCUCUCUCUCUCUCUCUCUCUCUCUCUCUCUCUCUCUCUCUCUCUCUCUCUCUCUCUCUCUCUCUCUCUCUCUCUCUCUCGCUCUCUCCUACUAAUUUCUCUCUCUCUCUCUCUCUCUCUCUCUCUCUCUCUCUCUCUCUCUCUCUCUCUCUCUCUCUCUCUCUCUCUCUCUCUCUCUCUGUUUAUUCUCCAUCCUCCCAUUUGACUAACAAUCCCUCUCUAGCUCUUUCUCUUUUUUUCCGCCGGCCGGCUCUUCGCUGCAGUGUGUCUGAAGUGUCCCGCUGGAAGGUGAUAUCAUGCGAGUCAGUAGCUCAACUCCAACUUCUUUAUUUUUCUAAAUACGAAGCCGACACUUUCACACCUGAUCAAUAACAAACGGGGCUGCCGUGCGCCGGGGAAGGCUCGCCGGUUACCGGAAGCGGGAGAAUAAUGCACUUGACGCUACUUUGCGCUUUCUUUCGUCAAUGCCAAUUUCUUGUUCGAGCGCAAAAUCAUUGUGCCUCAAAAACAACUGAGUGAUUUUGUGAUUUUCUUGCGCACACUUUGUAAGAGGGGAGAGCGAGGGGAGCGAGAGGCGACGAGUUUUGAAUGGAUUACCAUUGGCACGUCGACUUUACGCACGGCGCGUUUGGUAUUGGGUGAGUGGCGGCACCCCGGAUUGGUCGACUGAAGAAAUAAUGACCUUAUUAUGGGAAGCAGUUUCAAAUCCGCGGCGUUAGACAAAGACUGCUGGCUCCGUGCUGAGACACACCUCCACCCCCCCCCCCCCUCUCAGCCAGCUGUGUAUGUGAUGAUUGAUUUGCAAGAAGCAGCCAUUGAUUUUGCACUAUAAAUACUAUAAAUACAAGCAUAACUACACUUAUGUUUAUACGUAAAUAUAUGAGUACCAUACAUAUUUAUAUAUAAAAAGCUACACACACAGAGACGGUCUCACACUGCAGGAAUAAAAGGGGAUAUUAGUUAUUUUUUUAUUUGACAAGACAAAUCACCUGUAAUAGUUUUUCGCAAACGAGUCAAUAGGCACAGUGGCUAACCGAAUAUCGAUUUGAUAUAAUAUAAUAUAGAUCUAAUGAAGGCUGAGUUAUGUGAAUAUGAGCUCUGCCAGCUCCUCCCAGUAGAUUCUUCUGUCUGCAGCCACAUUAUCACCGGGUUCAGCGCUUUGUUUGCAUUGCAUUACGAGGUAUAACUGCUACGGUGGAUCAGCUGCCACGGCUGAUUCUGCUGCCGUAUAUAAGAAUAAACACACGCGUGUAUAUCGCCCAAUUAU
Gadus macrocephalus (Pacific cod) is the source of this 1281-nucleotide long non-coding RNA. RefSeq lists it as uncharacterized. The transcript has 2 exons. NCBI's taxonomy places the organism in Eukaryota, Metazoa, Chordata, Actinopteri, Gadiformes, Gadidae. The record is from RefSeq and is a predicted model, not a curated record.